This 813-nucleotide ribosomal RNA is filed under the name uncultured Lactobacillus sp. RNAcentral describes it as "bacterial SSU rRNA". It matches the Rfam family "Bacterial small subunit ribosomal RNA", at positions 699 to 1513 of the family's 1533-position model. Lineage: Bacteria; Bacillati; Bacillota; Bacilli; Lactobacillales; Lactobacillaceae. The record is from RNAcentral.
UGGAAGAACACCAGUGGCGAAGGCGGCUGUCUAGUCUGUAACUGACGCUGAGGCUCGAAAGCAUGGGUAGCGAACAGGAUUAGAUACCCUGGUAGUCCAUGCCGUAAACGAUGAGUGCUAAGUGUUGGAGGGUUUCCCCCUUCAGUGCUGCAGCUAACGCAUUAAGCACUCCGCCUGGGGAGUACGACCGCAAGGUUGAAACUCAAAGGAAUUGACGGGGGCCCGCACAAGCGGUGGAGCAUGUGGUUUAAUUCGAAGCUACGCGAAGAACCUUACCAGGUCUUGACAUCUUCUGCCAAUCUUAGAGAUAAGACGUUCCCUUCGGGGACAGAAUGACAGGUGGUGCAUGGUUGUCGUCAGCUCGUGUCGUGAGAUGUUGGGUUAAGUCCCGCAACGAGCGCAACCCUUAUUAUCAGUUGCCAGCAUUCAGUUGGGCACUCUGGUGAGACUGCCGGUGACAAACCGGAGGAAGGUGGGGAUGACGUCAAAUCAUCAUGCCCCUUAUGACCUGGGCUACACACGUGCUACAAUGGACGGUACAACGAGUCGCGAAGUCGUGAGGCUAAGCUAAUCUCUUAAAGCCGUUCUCAGUUCGGAUUGUAGGCUGCAACUCGCCUACAUGAAGUUGGAAUCGCUAGUAAUCGCGGAUCAGCAUGCCGCGGUGAAUACGUUCCCGGGCCUUGUACACACCGCCCGUCACACCAUGAGAGUUUGUAACACCCAAAGCCGGUGAGAUAACCUUCGGGAGUCAGCCGUCUAAGGUGGGACAGAUGAUUAGGGUGAAGUCGUAACAAGGUAACCAAGGGCGAAUCG